AGGAGGCGGGGCGCCUGUGGGAGUCGUGGAGGGAACUUUCCCAGGCCCCGAGGCGGAUCGGGUAUUGAGUCCAUGGAGCGAGCUGAGAGCUAGAGUACAGAACCUGCUAAGGCCAUCAAACCUAUCGAUCGGAAGUCAGUCCAUCAGAUUUGCUCUGGGCCGGUGGUACUGAGUCUAAGCACUGCGGUGAAGGAGUUAGUAGAAAACAGUCUGGAUGCUGGUGCCACCAAUAUUGCGAUGUCACCAUUUCUACCUGCCACGCAUCGGCGAAGGUUGGGACUCGACUGGUGUUUGAUCACGAUGGGAAAAUCAUCCAGAAAACCCCCUACCCCCACCCCAGAGGGACCACAGUCAGCGUGAAGCAGUUAUUUUCUACACUACCUGUGCACCAUAAGGAAUUUCAAAGGAAUAUUAAGAAGACGUGCCUGUUUCCCCUUCGCCUUCUGCCGUGAUUGUCAGUUUCCUGAGGCCUCCCCAGCCAUGCUUCCUGUACAGCCUGCAGAACUGACUCCUAGAAGGACCCCACCCCCCUCCCCCAACCCCUGCUCCCAGGAGGACACGUGAUCACUGUAUUCAGCUCCAUCAAGAAUGGUCCAGGUUCUUCUAGAUGAUCUGCACAAAUGGUUCCUCUUCUCCUUCCUGGUGUCUGCCAUUAGCAUUGGAAUAAAGUUCCUGCUGAAAAUCCACA
Homo sapiens (human) is the source of this 688-nucleotide long non-coding RNA. Ensembl annotates it as PMS1 homolog 2, mismatch repair system component pseudogene 4. Its record names the gene PMS2P4. Lineage: Eukaryota; Metazoa; Chordata; Mammalia; Primates; Hominidae. The record is from Ensembl.